Molecule: ribosomal RNA, 481 nt
Filed under: uncultured bacterium
Lineage: Bacteria
Description: bacterial SSU rRNA
Rfam family: Bacterial small subunit ribosomal RNA
Source: RNAcentral
AAAGGAAUAGACGGGGACCCGCACAAGCGGUGGAUGAUGUGGUUUAAUUCGACGCAACGCGAAGAACCUUACCGAGGCUUGACAUCCUGCGAAUCUCGCGGAAACGUGAGAGUGCCUUCGGGAAUGCAGUGACAGGUGCUGCAUGGCCGUCGUCAGCUCGUGUCGUGAGAUGUUGGGUUAAGUCCCGCAACGAGCGCAACCCUUGUCGUAUGUUGAAUUUUUCAUGCGAUACUGCCCGGGAUAACCGGGAGGAAGGUGGGGAUGACGUCAGGUCAGCAUGGCCCUUACGCCUCGGGCUACACACGUCAUACAAUGGCCAGUACAAUGCGCUGCCAACCAGCAAUGGGGAGCUAAUCGCAUCAAAACUGGUCCCAGUUCGGAUUGGAGGCUGCAACUCGCCUCCAUGAAGUCGGAAUCGCUAGUAAACGUGGGUCAGCAUACCACGUUGAAUACGUUCCCGGGUCUUGUACACACCGCCCGU